CCGGAACUAACACUAUUUCUAAACAUACCAAAGCGAGAUUCCAAAUGACACACGUCAUCAAGGAGUUCCAUCGGGUGCAUCCAAAUGGAUUUCCAAGCAUAUGGUAUGUUCCAUGCAAACUGUGCACCUAUCUUGCAUCAAGGUUAGCACUAUCUCCAAACAGACCAAACUGAGCUUCCACUUGAGCCUCUUCAUCUAGGAGUACAAACAGGUGC
RNAcentral lists this long non-coding RNA (215 nucleotides) under Sorghum bicolor (sorghum). Its description in RNAcentral is "long non-coding RNA (SBIC_LNC018632)". The record is from RNAcentral. Lineage: Eukaryota; Viridiplantae; Streptophyta; Magnoliopsida; Poales; Poaceae.